GUGAGGAAUAUUGCGCAAUGGAGGCAACUCUGACGCAGCCAUGCCGCGUGCAGGAAGAAGGCGCUACGCGUUGUAAACUGCUUUUAACCGGGAAGAAACCCCAGGACGUGUCCUGGGUUGACGGUACCGGAGGAAUAAGCACCGGCUAACUUCGUGCCAGCAGCCGCGGUAAUACGAAGGGUGCAAGCGUUAUCCGGAUUCAUUGGGUUUAAAGGGUGCGUAGGCGGAGCGUUAAGUCAGUGGUGAACUCCUGCAGCUUAACUGUAGACUUGCCAUUGAUACUGGCGCUCUUGAGUGCGCUUGAAGUGGGCGGAAUGUGCCGUGUAGCGGUGAAAUGCUUAGAUAUGGCACAGAACACCAAUUGCGAAGGCAGCUCACUAAGGCGAUACUGACGCUGAGGCACGAAAGCGUGGGGAUCGAACAGGAUUAGAAACCCCAGUAGUCC
Molecule: ribosomal RNA, 445 nt
Filed under: uncultured bacterium
Lineage: Bacteria
Description: partial 16S ribosomal RNA
Rfam family: Bacterial small subunit ribosomal RNA
Source: RNAcentral